GGCACAAUCUGACGCCAAAACGGCGAUAGGGGUCCACCGGCAACCCCGACGGCCCCCAACAGUCCGAAAUAGUCUGAACACUACUGUAAAAAUACACUCGGCAUCCGAGCAUGAGCGUAACUGAAAUCUAAACUAUCUGGGAUAUCCACCACACUGAUACUGCAACGAUACAAAAUAACAACGGCUUCUAGAGCUAAAUCAGAUAAUUUAAGCAUAUGACAGGUCAUAAUCGUUGUUUUCUCCUAAGUCAAAUUUCAGUCCAACAUGUGCUAGUAGAUACACGCAACGAGGAAACUCCAAUUCAGAUUUUAUAUGGAAUAUGCCAAAAUUCAUGAACUGAGCAAAAUUUAUCAACAUAACAACACAUGUCGACCAACUAUAUACUUAGAAGACAAACCGACGAUUAACCCACCUCGAUAGCUAAUCCCAAUCUGGCGCGACGUCGAGAACGGCAAAAUCGACCCUCGUCCGGCCUCCUCACGAUGCUACGACGACGAAGACCUGCUCGAACGGCACCGCGGCGCGACGUCGACGAAACUCGAACUCCACCCGAGCUCUUCCUUGCUCGGCCGAUGCCAGC
Molecule: long non-coding RNA, 580 nt
Filed under: Ananas comosus (pineapple)
Lineage: Eukaryota; Viridiplantae; Streptophyta; Magnoliopsida; Poales; Bromeliaceae
Description: long non-coding RNA (ACOM_LNC016083)
Source: RNAcentral